ACGCGAAGAACCUUACCUGGGUUUGACAUGCACAGGACGUACCUAGAGAUAGGUAUUCCCUUGUGGCCUGUGUGCAGGUGGUGCAUGGCUGUCGUCAGCUCGUGUCGUGAGAUGUUGGGUUAAGUCCCGCAACGAGCGCAACCCUUGUCCUAUGUUGCCAGCGGGUAAUGCCGGGGACUCGUAGGAGACUGCCGGGGUCAACUCGGAGGAAGGUGGGUUGGACGUCAAGUCAUCAUGCCCCUUAUGUCCAGGGCUUCACACAUGCUACAAUGGCCAGUACAGAGGGCUGCGUGCCGCAAGGUGGAGCGAAUCCCUUAAAGCUGGUCUCAGUUCUGAUUGGGGUCUGCAACUCGACCCCAUGAAGUCGGAGUCGCUAGUAUC
RNAcentral lists this ribosomal RNA (381 nucleotides) under uncultured Mycobacterium sp. RNAcentral's name for it is "bacterial SSU rRNA". It matches the Rfam family "Bacterial small subunit ribosomal RNA", at positions 959 to 1342 of the family's 1533-position model. Lineage: Bacteria; Bacillati; Actinomycetota; Actinomycetes; Mycobacteriales; Mycobacteriaceae. The record is from RNAcentral.